This 249-nucleotide ribosomal RNA is filed under the name uncultured fungus. Its description in RNAcentral is "partial 26S ribosomal RNA". It matches the Rfam family "Eukaryotic large subunit ribosomal RNA", at positions 38 to 281 of the family's 3401-position model. The record is from RNAcentral. Lineage: Eukaryota; Fungi.
GCAUAUCAAUAAGCGGAGGAAAAGAAACUAACAAGGAUUCCCCUAGUAACGGCGAGUGAAACGGGAAUAGCUCAAAUUUAAAAUCUGGCUGUCUUCGAUAGUCCGAGUUGUAAUCUAUAGAAGUGUUUUCCGUGCUGAACUGUGUCUAAGUCCCUUGGAACAGGGUAUCAAAGAGGGUGACAAUCCCGUACUUGGCACAAUCAUCAGUGCUCUGUGGUACAUUCUCUACGAGUCGAGUUGUUUGGGAAU